Long non-coding RNA from Pseudopipra pipra, 610 nucleotides. RefSeq lists it as uncharacterized. The record is from RefSeq and is a predicted model, not a curated record. Lineage: Eukaryota; Metazoa; Chordata; Aves; Passeriformes; Pipridae. The transcript is spliced from 2 exons.
GGCACCACUGGGAGCAGGGCGGGGGACGCCCGGCGUCCCCCCUCCCGUGGCGCAGUGGAGUUGCCCGGGUGUGGGAUGGUGGCGUGCCGGUGGAGCAGCCGAGCGUUGUUCGGUGUUUGUUCGCACACGCGAAUAAAGAUUGCACUACAGUGAUUCAAGAAGAAAUGACUGAUAGAAGACCUCUUUAAUGUCUAUAAAUAUCUGAAGGGAAAGUGCCAAGAGGAUGGAGCCAGGCUUUUCUUGGUGGUGCUGAGCAAUAGGACAAGAGGCAAUCAGUAGAAACUGAUGCACAGAAGUUCCACCUAAAUAUAAGGAAGAACUUCUUUACUGUGCAGGUAACCAAGUUCUGGAACAGAUUGCCCAGAGAGGUUGCGGAAUCCCCCUCACUGGAGAUACUCAAGAACCAUCUGGAAACAAUCCUAUGCCAUGUGCUCUGGGAUGACCUUGCUUAAGCAGGAAGGUUGGACCAGAUGACCUGCUGUAGUCCACUCCCAACUUGAUCGAUUCUCUGUGAUUCUGCUUGUAGAAAUCCUGUGUCAGUCUAAUCAUAAGUUCUGUGCUAUACUAAUAAUGAAGUUCUGCUAAGGAAAAUAAAGCUUUAAUUGUUAAA